AGCGGAGUAGAGCAGCCAGGAGUGCUCGCUGGGCUCAUAACCCAGAGGUCAUAGGUUCAAAUCCUAUCUCCGCUA
RNAcentral lists this transfer RNA (75 nucleotides) under Candidatus Parvarchaeota archaeon. Its description in RNAcentral is "tRNA-Met". It matches the Rfam family "tRNA". Rfam says of the family: Transfer RNA (tRNA) molecules are approximately 80 nucleotides in length. Their secondary structure includes four short double-helical elements and three loops (D, anti-codon, and T loops). RNAcentral also lists the same sequence under 2 other names. Lineage: Archaea; Nanobdellati; Candidatus Parvarchaeota. The record is from RNAcentral.